This 622-nucleotide ribosomal RNA is filed under the name uncultured bacterium. RNAcentral's name for it is "bacterial SSU rRNA". It matches the Rfam family "Bacterial small subunit ribosomal RNA", at positions 202 to 842 of the family's 1533-position model. The record is from RNAcentral.
CAAAGAUUUAUCGCUGGAAGAUGGCCUCGCGUCUGAUUAGCUAGUUGGUGAGGUAACGGCCCACCAAGGCGACGAUCAGUAACCGGACUGAGAGGUUGGCCGGCCACAUUGGGACUGAGAUACGGCCCAGACUCCUACGGGAGGCAGCAGUGGGGAAUAUUGGGCAAUGGACGCAAGUCUGACCCAGCAACGCCGCGUGAAGGAAGAAGGCUUUCGGGUUGUAAACUUCUUUUAAGGGGGAAGAGCGGAAGACGGUACCCCUUGAAUAAGCCACGGCUAACUACGUGCCAGCAGCCGCGGUAAUACGUAGGUGGCAAGCGUUGUCCGGAUUUACUGGGUGUAAAGGGCGUGCAGCCGGAGAGACAAGUCAGAUGUGAAAUCCACGGGCUCAACCCGUGAACUGCAUUUGAAACUGUUUCCCUUGAGUGUCGGAGAGGUAAUCGGAAUUCCUUGUGUAGCGGUGAAAUGCGUAGAUAUAAGGAAGAACACCAGUGGCGAAGGCGGAUUACUGGACGAUAACUGACGGUGAGGCGCGAAAGCGUGGGGAGCAAACAGGAUUAGAUACCCCGGUAGUCCACGCUGUAAACGAUCGAUACUAGGUGUGCGGGGACUGACCCCCUGC